RNAcentral lists this ribosomal RNA (164 nucleotides) under uncultured bacterium. RNAcentral describes it as "partial 16S ribosomal RNA". It matches the Rfam family "Bacterial small subunit ribosomal RNA", at positions 355 to 511 of the family's 1533-position model. The record is from RNAcentral.
UAGGGAAUCUUCCACAAUGGGCGAAAGCCUGAUGGAGCAACGCCGCGUGUGUGAUGAAGGGUUUCGGCUCGUAAAACACUGUUGUAAGAGAAGAAUGACAUUGAGGGUAACUGUUCAAUGUGUGACGGUAUCUUACCAGAAAGGAACGGCUAAAUACGCGCCAG